UGACCAGACUCCUACGGGAGGCAGCAGUGGGGAAUAUUGCACAAUGGGGGAAACCCUGAUGCAGCGACGCCGCGUGAAGGAUGAAGUAUUUCGGUAUGUAAACUUCUAUCAGCAGGGAAGAAAAUGACGGUACCUGACUAAGAAGCCCCGGCUAACUACGUGCCAGCAGCCGCGGUAAUACGUAGGGGGCAAGCGUUAUCCGGAUUUACUGGGUGUAAAGGGAGCGUAGACGGUAUGGCAAGUCUGAUGUGAAAACCCGGGGCUCAACCCCGGGACUGCAUUGGAAACUGUCGGACUAGAGUGUCGGAGAGGCAAGUGGAAUUCCUAGUGUAGCGGUGAAAUGCGUAGAUAUUAGGAGGAACACCAGUGGCGAAGGCGGCUUACUGGACGGCAACUGACGCUGAGGCUCGAAAGCGUGGGGAGCAAACAGGAUUAGAUACCCCAGUA
RNAcentral lists this ribosomal RNA (447 nucleotides) under uncultured bacterium. Its description in RNAcentral is "partial 16S ribosomal RNA". It matches the Rfam family "Bacterial small subunit ribosomal RNA", at positions 328 to 792 of the family's 1533-position model. The record is from RNAcentral.